RNAcentral lists this non-coding RNA (22 nucleotides) under Arabidopsis thaliana (thale cress). The record is from RNAcentral. Lineage: Eukaryota; Viridiplantae; Streptophyta; Magnoliopsida; Brassicales; Brassicaceae.
UUCAUUGUUUGUCGUUUAUGCA